RNAcentral lists this ribosomal RNA (2923 nucleotides) under Klebsiella pneumoniae. RNAcentral's name for it is "bacterial LSU rRNA". It matches the Rfam family "Bacterial large subunit ribosomal RNA". RNAcentral also lists the same sequence under 1 other name. Lineage: Bacteria; Pseudomonadati; Pseudomonadota; Gammaproteobacteria; Enterobacterales; Enterobacteriaceae. The record is from RNAcentral.
GGGUUGUGAGGUUAAGCGACUAAGCGUACACGGUGGAUGCCCUGGCAGUCAGAGGCGAUGAAGGACGUGCUAAUCUGCGAAAAGCGUCGGUAAGGUGAUAUGAACCGUUAUAACCGGCGAUGUCCGAAUGGGGAAACCCAGUGCAAUUCGUUGCACUAUCGUUAACUGAAUACAUAGGUUAACGAGGCGAACCGGGGGAACUGAAACAUCUAAGUACCCCGAGGAAAAGAAAUCAACCGAGAUUCCCCCAGUAGCGGCGAGCGAACGGGGAGCAGCCCAGAGUCUGAAUCAGCUUGUGUGUUAGUGGAACGGUCUGGAAAGUCCGACGGUACAGGGUGAUAGUCCCGUACACCAAAAUGCACAGGCUGUGAACUCGAAGAGUAGGGCGGGACACGUGGUAUCCUGUCUGAAUAUGGGGGGACCAUCCUCCAAGGCUAAAUACUCCUGACUGACCGAUAGUGAACCAGUACCGUGAGGGAAAGGCGAAAAGAACCCCGGCGAGGGGAGUGAAAAAGAACCUGAAACCGUGUACGUACAAGCAGUGGGAGCACCUUCGGGUGUGACUGCGUACCUUUUGUAUAAUGGGUCAGCGACUUAUAUUCUGUAGCAAGGUUAACCGUAUAGGGGAGCCGCAGGGAAACCGAGUCUUAACUGGGCGUUAAGUUGCAGGGUAUAGACCCGAAACCCGGUGAUCUAGCCAUGGGCAGGUUGAAGGUUGGGUAACACUAACUGGAGGACCGAACCGACUAAUGUUGAAAAAUUAGCGGAUGACUUGUGGCUGGGGGUGAAAGGCCAAUCAAACCGGGAGAUAGCUGGUUCUCCCCGAAAGCUAUUUAGGUAGCGCCUCGUGAACUCAUCUUCGGGGGUAGAGCACUGUUUCGGCUAGGGGGUCAUCCCGACUUACCAACCCGAUGCAAACUACGAAUACCGAAGAAUGUUAUCACGGGAGACACACGGCGGGUGCUAACGUCCGUCGUGAAGAGGGAAACAACCCAGACCGCCAGCUAAGGUCCCAAAGUCAUGGUUAAGUGGGAAACGAUGUGGGAAGGCACAGACAGCCAGGAUGUUGGCUUAGAAGCAGCCAUCAUUUAAAGAAAGCGUAAUAGCUCACUGGUCGAGUCGGCCUGCGCGGAAGAUGUAACGGGGCUAAACCAUGCACCGAAGCUGCGGCAGCGACACUAUGUGUUGUUGGGUAGGGGAGCGUUCUGUAAGCCUGCGAAGGUGUGCUGUGAGGCAUGCUGGAGGUAUCAGAAGUGCGAAUGCUGACAUAAGUAACGAUAAAGCGGGUGAAAAGCCCGCUCGCCGGAAGACCAAGGGUUCCUGUCCAACGUUAAUCGGGGCAGGGUGAGUCGACCCCUAAGGCGAGGCCGAAAGGCGUAGUCGAUGGGAAACAGGUUAAUAUUCCUGUACUUGGUGUUACUGCGAAGGGGGGACGGAGAAGGCUAUGUUAGCCGGGCGACGGUUGUCCCGGUUUAAGCAUGUAGGCUGGUUGUCCAGGCAAAUCCGGAUAAUCAAGGCUGAGGUGUGAUGACGAGGCACUACGGUGCUGAAGUAACAAAUGCCCUGCUUCCAGGAAAAGCCUCUAAGCAUCAGGUAACAUUAAAUCGUACCCCAAACCGACACAGGUGGUCAGGUAGAGAAUACCAAGGCGCUUGAGAGAACUCGGGUGAAGGAACUAGGCAAAAUGGUGCCGUAACUUCGGGAGAAGGCACGCUGGUGUGUAGGUGAAGUCCCUGCGGAUGGAGCUGAGACCAGUCGAAGAUACCAGCUGGCUGCAACUGUUUAUUAAAAACACAGCACUGUGCAAACACGAAAGUGGACGUAUACGGUGUGACGCCUGCCCGGUGCCGGAAGGUUAAUUGAUGGGGUUAUCCGUAAGGAGAAGCUCUUGAUCGAAGCCCCGGUAAACGGCGGCCGUAACUAUAACGGUCCUAAGGUAGCGAAAUUCCUUGUCGGGUAAGUUCCGACCUGCACGAAUGGCGUAAUGAUGGCCAGGCUGUCUCCACCCGAGACUCAGUGAAAUUGAACUCGCUGUGAAGAUGCAGUGUACCCGCGGCAAGACGGAAAGACCCCGUGAACCUUUACUAUAGCUUGACACUGAACAUUGAGCCUUGAUGUGUAGGAUAGGUGGGAGGCUUUGAAGCGUGGACGCCAGUCUGCGUGGAGCCAACCUUGAAAUACCACCCUUUAAUGUUUGAUGUUCUAACGUUGGCCCCUGACCGGGGUUGCGGACAGUGUCUGGUGGGUAGUUUGACUGGGGCGGUCUCCUCCCAAAGCGUAACGGAGGAGCACGAAGGUUAGCUAAUCCUGGUCGGACAUCAGGAGGUUAGUGCAAUGGCAUAAGCUAGCUUGACUGCGAGCGUGACGGCGCGAGCAGGUGCGAAAGCAGGUCAUAGUGAUCCGGUGGUUCUGAAUGGAAGGGCCAUCGCUCAACGGAUAAAAGGUACUCCGGGGAUAACAGGCUGAUACCGCCCAAGAGUUCAUAUCGACGGCGGUGUUUGGCACCUCGAUGUCGGCUCAUCACAUCCUGGGGCUGAAGUAGGUCCCAAGGGUAUGGCUGUUCGCCAUUUAAAGUGGUACGCGAGCUGGGUUUAGAACGUCGUGAGACAGUUCGGUCCCUAUCUGCCGUGGGCGCUGGAGAAUUGAGGGGGGCUGCUCCUAGUACGAGAGGACCGGAGUGGACGCAUCACUGGUGUUCGGGUUGUCAUGCCAAUGGCACUGCCCGGUAGCUAAAUGCGGAAGAGAUAAGUGCUGAAAGCAUCUAAGCACGAAACUUGCCCCGAGAUGAGUUCUCCCUGAGACUUUAAGUCUCCUGAAGGAACGUUGAAGACGACGACGUUGAUAGGCCGGGUGUGUAAGCGCAGCGAUGCGUUGAGCUAACCGGUACUAAUGAACCGUGAGGCUUAACCUUACAACGCCGAAG